RNAcentral lists this non-coding RNA (203 nucleotides) under Firmicutes bacterium CAG:424. Lineage: Bacteria; Bacillati; Bacillota. The record is from RNAcentral. RNAcentral also lists the same sequence under 1 other name.
AAUUCCAUAAGCCUAUUAAGUGCAUCCGUAUUCAGAAGAAUACUGGUGAAAAGGGAAUCAGGUGUGAGUCCUGAGCGAUCCGGUCACUGUAUUUGGGGAGCAAUACUGCAGAGAAUCCAUUGUAUUACGACGUAGUAAUAUGAGAAGGAGCAGUAGAGCGAAGAACCAUGAGUCAGGAAACCUGCUUAAUAGUAGUAAGGCAA